CGGAAGGUCCGGGCGUUAUCCGGAUUUAUUGGGUUUAAAGGGAGCGUAGGCCGGAGAUUAAGCGUGUUGUGAAAUGUAGAUGCUCAACGUCUGCACUGCAGCGCGAACUGGUUUCCUUGAGUACGCACAAAGUGGGCGGAAUUCGUGGUGUAGCGGUGAAAUGCUUAGAUAUCACGAAGAACUCCGAUUGCGAAGGCAGCUCACUGGAGCGCAACUGACGCUGAAGCUCGAAAGUGCGGGUAUCGA
RNAcentral lists this ribosomal RNA (246 nucleotides) under uncultured bacterium. Its description in RNAcentral is "partial 16S ribosomal RNA". It matches the Rfam family "Bacterial small subunit ribosomal RNA", at positions 526 to 771 of the family's 1533-position model. The record is from RNAcentral.